Molecule: ribosomal RNA, 647 nt
Filed under: uncultured bacterium
Lineage: Bacteria
Description: bacterial SSU rRNA
Rfam family: Bacterial small subunit ribosomal RNA
Source: RNAcentral
GAUGAACGCUAGCGGCAGGUUUAACACAUGCAAGUCGAGGGGUAGAAGGAGCUUGCUCCUUUGAGACCGGCGCACGGGUGCGUAACGCGUAUGCAAUCUGCCUUUUACAGGGGAAUAGCCCAGAGAAAUUUGGAUUAAUGCCCCAUAGCACUGCAGGACGGCAUCGUCCAGCAGUUAAAGUCACAACGGUAAAAGAUGAGCAUGCGUCCCAUUAGCUAGUUGGUAAGGUAACGGCUUACCAAGGCGAUGAUGGGUAGGGGUCCUGAGAGGGAGAUCCCCCACACUGGUACUGAGACACGGACCAGACUCCUACGGGAGGCAGCAGUGAGGAAUAUUGGACAAUGGGCGCAAGCCUGAUCCAGCCAUGCCGCGUGCAGGAUGAAGCAUCUAUGGUGUGUAAACUGCUUUUAUACAGGAAGAAACCCUGGGACGUGUCCCAGACUGACGGUACUGUAGGAAUAAGGACCGGCUAACUCCGUGCCAGCAGCCGCGGUAAUACGGAGGGUCCGAGCGUUAUCCGGAAUCAUUGGGUUUAAAGGGUCCGUAGGCGGCCCUGUAAGUCAGUGGUGAAAUCUCCCGGCUCAACCGGGAAAUUGCCAUUGAUACUGCAGGGCUUGAAUUAUUGGGAAGUAACUAGAAUAUGUAGU